Molecule: ribosomal RNA, 506 nt
Filed under: uncultured bacterium
Lineage: Bacteria
Description: partial 16S ribosomal RNA
Rfam family: Bacterial small subunit ribosomal RNA
Source: RNAcentral
AUUGAACGCUGGCGGCAGGCCUAACACAUGCAAGUCGAACGGUAACAGGAAGUAGCUUGCUACUUUGCUGACGAGUGGCGGACGGGUGAGGAAUGUCUGGGGAUCUGCCUGAUGGAGGUGGAUAACUACUGGACACGGUAGUUAAUACCGCAGAAGGUGGCAAGACCAAAGCCGGGGACUUUCGAGCCUCGCACAAUCAUAUGACCCCAGAUGGGAUUAGCUAGUAGGUAAGGUAAUGGCUUACCUAGGCGACGAUCCCUACCUGGUCUGAAAGGAUGACCAGCCACACUGGAACUGAGACACGGUCAAGACUCCUACGGGAGGCAGCAGUGGGGAAUAUUGCACAAUGGGCGCAAGCCUGAUGCAGCCAUGCCGCGUGUAUGAAGAAGGCCUUCGGGUUGUAAAGUACUUUCAGUCAGGAGGAAGGGUGUGAAAUUAAUACUUUCAUGCAUUGACGUUACUGACAGAAGAAGCACCGGCUAACUCCGUGCCAGCCGCCGUCGUAA